RNAcentral lists this ribosomal RNA (460 nucleotides) under uncultured bacterium. Its description in RNAcentral is "partial 16S ribosomal RNA". It matches the Rfam family "Bacterial small subunit ribosomal RNA", at positions 338 to 795 of the family's 1533-position model. The record is from RNAcentral.
CCUACGGGGUGCAGCAGUGAGGAAUAUUGGUCAAUGGGCGGAAGCCUGAACCAGCCAAGUAGCGUGCAGGAUGACGGCCCUACGGGUUGUAAACUUCUUUUAUACGGGAAUAACGCGCCUUACGUGUAGGGCUUUGCAUGUACCGUAUGAAUAAGGACCGGCUAAUUCCGUGCCAGCAGCCGCGGUAAUACGGAAGGUCCGGGCGUUAUCCGGAUUUAUUGGGUUUAAAGGGAGCGUAGGCCGGAUGUCAAGCGUGCUGUGAAAUGUCCGGGCUCAACCCGGGCCUUGCAGCGGAAACUGGCGUGCUAGAGUCGGCGGAAAGCAGGCGGAAUUCGUGGUGUAGCGGUGAAAUGCUUAGAUAUGGCGAAGAACCCCGAUUGCGAAGGCAGCUUGCUGCAGCGGAACUGACGCUGAUGCUCGAAAGCGCGGGUAUCGAACAGGAUUAGAUACCCUUGUAGUC